AUUGAACGCUGGCGGCAGGCUUAACACAUGCAAGUCGAGCGGAGAUGAGGUGCUUGCACCUUAUCUUAGCGGCGGACGGGUGAGUAAUGCUUAGGAAUCUGCCUAUUAGUGGGGGACAACAUUCCGAAAGGAAUGCCAAUACCGCAUACGUCCUACGGGAGAAAGCAGGGGAUCUUCGGACCUUGCGCUAAUAGAUGAGCCUAAGUCGGAUUAGCUAGUUGGUGGGGUAAAGGCCUACCAAGGCGACGAUCUGUAGCGGGUCUGAGAGGAUGAUCCGCCACACUGGGACUGAGACACGGCCCAGACUCCUACGGGAGGCAGCAGUGGGGAAUAUUGGACAAUGGGGGGAACCCUGAUCUAGCCAUGCCGCGUGUGUGAAGAAGGCCUUAUGGUUGUAAAGCACUUUAAGCGAGGAGGAGGCUACUGAGACUAAUACUCUUAGAUAGUGGACGUUACUCGCAGAAUAAGCACCGGCUAACUCUGUGCCAGCAGCCGCCGUAA
Molecule: ribosomal RNA, 501 nt
Filed under: uncultured bacterium
Lineage: Bacteria
Description: partial 16S ribosomal RNA
Rfam family: Bacterial small subunit ribosomal RNA
Source: RNAcentral